UACAGAGGGGGCAAGCGUUGUUCGGAAUUACUGGGCGUAAAGGGCGCGUAGGCGGCCUUCUAAGUCGAACGUGAAAUCCCUGGGCUCAACCCAGGAACUGCGUCCGAUACUGGAAGGCUUGAAUCCGGGAGAGGGAUGCGGAAUUCCGGGUGUAGUGGUGGAAUGCGUAGAGAUCCGGAGGAACACCAGCGGCGAAGGCGGCAUCCUGGACUGGUCCUGACACUCAGGAGCGAAAGCGUGGGGAGCGAUCCGG
RNAcentral lists this ribosomal RNA (253 nucleotides) under uncultured bacterium. RNAcentral describes it as "partial 16S ribosomal RNA". It matches the Rfam family "Bacterial small subunit ribosomal RNA", at positions 524 to 776 of the family's 1533-position model. The record is from RNAcentral.